GAUGAACGCUGGCGGCGCGCUUAACACAUGCAAGUCGAACGGUGAAGCAGAGCUUGCUCUGUGGAUCAGUGGCGAACGGGUGAGUAACACGUGAGCAACCUGCCCCUGACUCUGGGAUAAGCGCUGGAAACGGCGUCUAAUACUGGAUAUGAGCUGCGACCGCAUGGUCAGCAGUUGGAAAGAUUUUUCGGUCUGGGAUGGGCUCACGGCCUAUCAGCUUGUUGGUGAGGUAAUGGCUCACCAAGGCGUCGACGGGUAGCCGGCCUGAGAGGGUGACCGGCCACACUGGGACUGAGACACGGCCCAGACUCCUACGGGAGGCAGCAGUGGGGAAUAUUGCACAAUGGGCGAAAGCCUGAUGCAGCAACGCCGCGUGAGGGAUGACGGCCUUCGGGUUGUAAACCUCUUUUAGCAGGGAAGAAGCGAAAGUGACGGUACCUGCAGAAAAAGCGCCGGCUAACUACGUG
Molecule: ribosomal RNA, 467 nt
Filed under: uncultured bacterium
Lineage: Bacteria
Description: partial 16S ribosomal RNA
Rfam family: Bacterial small subunit ribosomal RNA
Source: RNAcentral